UGCGUAGGCGGAUUAAUAAGUCAGUGGUGAAAUCUUUCGGCUCAACCGAGAAACUGCCAUUGAUACUGUUAAUCUUGAGUUCGGUUGAGGUAGGCGGAAUGUGUAAUGUAGCGGUGAAAUGCUUAGUUAUUACACAGAACACCAAUUGCGUAGGCAGCUUACUAGACCGACACUGACGCUGAGGCACGAAAGCGUGGGGAGCGAACAGGAUUAGAUACCCUGGUAGUCC
RNAcentral lists this ribosomal RNA (229 nucleotides) under uncultured bacterium. RNAcentral describes it as "partial 16S ribosomal RNA". It matches the Rfam family "Bacterial small subunit ribosomal RNA", at positions 568 to 796 of the family's 1533-position model. The record is from RNAcentral.